AUGCUCAAACGCCCAGAACUGGCUUUUUUCGGCAACUUUGGCAGCUCUCCCACCCCCACCCGAAGGGGCAGCGUCUCCCUCGACUCCGCUUAGGAAGUGGUGGGGGUGGCGUGGCCCCCGUCGGGAGGCGUUCGAACGCCCGCUCGGAGAGAGAAAGGAUUCCCCUGUGUUUGGAGCCCGCACUCGGGCGCGGAGGGAGCGGCGGCAGGCUCUCGCUCUCGGCACCAUGGGCUGCACGCUGAGCGCCGAGGACAAGGCGGCGGUGGAGCGGAGUAAGAUGAUCGACCGCAACCUCCGCGAGGACGGCGAGAAGGCGGCGCGCGAGGUCAAGCUGCUGCUGCUGGGCGCUGGUGAAUCUGGUAAAAGUACAAUUGUGAAGCAGAUGAAAAUUAUCCAUGAAGCUGGUUAUUCAGAAGAGGAGUGUAAACAAUACAAAGCAGUGGUCUACAGUAACACCAUCCAGUCAAUUAUUGCUAUCAUUAGGGCUAUGGGGAGGUUGAAGAUAGACUUUGGUGACUCAGCCCGGGCGG
This 530-nucleotide small RNA is filed under the name Pongo abelii (Sumatran orangutan). RNAcentral describes it as "processed transcript". The record is from RNAcentral. Lineage: Eukaryota; Metazoa; Chordata; Mammalia; Primates; Hominidae.